This 344-nucleotide ribosomal RNA is filed under the name uncultured Thermus sp. RNAcentral's name for it is "bacterial SSU rRNA". It matches the Rfam family "Bacterial small subunit ribosomal RNA", at positions 1037 to 1382 of the family's 1533-position model. The record is from RNAcentral. Lineage: Bacteria; Thermotogati; Deinococcota; Deinococci; Thermales; Thermaceae.
GGUGCUGCAUGGCCGUCGUCAGCUUGUGCCGUGAGGUGUUGGGUUAAGUCCCGCAACGAGCGCAACCCCGCCGUUAGUUGCCAGCGGUUCGGCCGGGCACUCUAACGGGACUGCCCGCGAAAGCGGGAGGAAGGAGGGGACGACGUCUGGUCAGCAUGGCCCUUACGGCCUGGGCGACACACGUGCUACAAUGCCCACUACAAAGCGAUGCCACCCGGCAACGGGGAGCUAAUCGCAAAAAGGUGGGCCCAGUUCGGAUUGGGGUCUGCAACCCGACCCCAUGAAGCCGGAAUCGCUAGUAAUCGCGGAUCAGCCAUGCCGCGGUGAAUACGUUCCCGGGCCUU